GCUUCGUUAGCGUAGUUGGAUUAUCGCAUCCGUCUAAUACACGGUGCACUCGGUUUACUGAGUCCAAAAUAUUACAUCAACGGAAGGUCACUGGUUCGAGCCCAGUACGGAGCA
This is a non-coding RNA of Pseudozyma hubeiensis SY62, 114 nucleotides long. The record is from the annotation of a RefSeq genome assembly. NCBI's taxonomy places the organism in Eukaryota, Fungi, Basidiomycota, Ustilaginomycetes, Ustilaginales, Ustilaginaceae.